CCCUUAGAUGUCCGGGGCCGCACGCGCGCUACACUGAAGGAAUCAGCGUGGCUUUCUCCCUGACCCGAAAGGGUUGGGAAACCCGUUGAAUCUCCUUCGUGAUAGGGAUUGGGGCUUGAAAUUGUUCCCCAUGAACGAGGAAUUCCCAGUAAGCGCGAGUCAUAAGCUCGCGUUGAUUACGUCCCUGCCCUUUGUACACACCGCCCGUCGCUACUACCGAUUGAACGGUUUAGUGAGGGCCUUGGAUUGGUCUCGGCCCGCUCUUUACCGGGCGGCGCCGUUGGUCGAGAAGACGCUCGAACUUGAUCGUUUAGAGGAAGUAAAAGUCGUAACA
RNAcentral lists this ribosomal RNA (334 nucleotides) under uncultured eukaryote. RNAcentral describes it as "partial 18S ribosomal RNA". It matches the Rfam family "Eukaryotic small subunit ribosomal RNA", at positions 1470 to 1796 of the family's 1831-position model. The record is from RNAcentral.